UUAUAUUCGUUGAAAUUUUAUCGUUAUUUUUUCAUGAUCAUCAUGAUUGUUGUAAGUUCACGACUUUUCCAGGCGAGGAUUGUGUAAUUAAGAUUUGAAUGGAUUGUAAGUAAAUAGGAAAAAGUUUUUUAAUUUUGUUCAUUGAUGGGUUUUGAAAGGGUAGAAACGUGGUUGUGCUUCUGAAAAUUGAAGUCGAUUGCUGUUUGGUUUCUGAG
This 215-nucleotide unclassified non-coding RNA is filed under the name Hevea brasiliensis (rubber tree). The record is from RNAcentral. Lineage: Eukaryota; Viridiplantae; Streptophyta; Magnoliopsida; Malpighiales; Euphorbiaceae.